GAUGAACGCUGGCGGCGUGCCUAAUACAUGCAAGUCGAGCGAACGGACGAGAAGCUUGCUUCUCUGAUGUUAGCGGCGGACGGGUGAGUAACACGUGGAUAACCUACCUAUAAGACUGGGAUAACUUCGGGAAACCGGAGCUAAUACCGGAUGAUAUUUUGAACCGCAUGGUUCAAAAGUGAAAGACGGUCUUGCUGUCACUUAUAGAUGGAUCCGCGCUGCAUUAGCUAGUUGGUAAGGUAACGGCUUACCAAGGCAACGAUGCAUAGCCGACCUGAGAGGGUGAUCGGCCACACUGGAACUGAGACACGGUCCAGACUCCUACGGGAGGCAGCAGUAGGGAAUCUUCCGAAAUGGGCGAAAGCCUGACGGAGAAACGCCGCGUGAGUGAUGAAGGUCUUCGGAUCGUAAAACUCUGUUAUUAGGGAAGAACAUAUGUGUAAGUAACUGUGCACAUCUUGACGGUACCUAAUCAGAAAGCCACGGCUAACUACGUG
This 497-nucleotide ribosomal RNA is filed under the name uncultured bacterium. Its description in RNAcentral is "partial 16S ribosomal RNA". It matches the Rfam family "Bacterial small subunit ribosomal RNA", at positions 28 to 507 of the family's 1533-position model. The record is from RNAcentral.